AUACGGAGGGUGCAAGCGUUGUUCGGAAUUAUUGGGCGUAAAGCGCGUGUAGGCGGUUGGUUAAGUCUGAUGUGAAAGCCCUGGGCUCAACCCGGGAAGUGCAUUGGAAACUGGCUGACUUGAGUACGGGAGAGGGUAGUGGAAUUUCGAGUGUAGGGGUGAAAUCCGUAGAUAUUCGGAGGAACACCGGUGGCGAAGGCGGCUACCUGGACCGAUACUGACGCUGAGACGCGAAAGCGUGGGGAUC
This 247-nucleotide ribosomal RNA is filed under the name uncultured bacterium. RNAcentral's name for it is "partial 16S ribosomal RNA". It matches the Rfam family "Bacterial small subunit ribosomal RNA", at positions 523 to 769 of the family's 1533-position model. The record is from RNAcentral.